This 253-nucleotide ribosomal RNA is filed under the name uncultured bacterium. RNAcentral describes it as "partial 16S ribosomal RNA". It matches the Rfam family "Bacterial small subunit ribosomal RNA", at positions 524 to 776 of the family's 1533-position model. The record is from RNAcentral.
UACGUAGGUGGCGAGCGUUGUCCGGAUUUACUGGGCGUAAAGAGCGCGCAGGCGGUCGAGCAAGUCGAGUGUGAAAGCCCCCGGCUCAACUGGGGAGGGUCAUUCGAUACUGCUCGACUCGAAGGCGGGAGAGGGAAGUGGAAUUCCCGGUGUAGUGGUGAAAUGCGUAGAUAUCGGGAGGAACACCAGUGGCGAAGGCGACUUCCUGGCCCGUUCUUGACGCUGAGGCGCGAAAGCUAGGGGAGCAAACGGG